Molecule: long non-coding RNA, 2439 nt
Organism: Culex pipiens pallens (northern house mosquito)
Lineage: Eukaryota; Metazoa; Arthropoda; Insecta; Diptera; Culicidae
Exons: 3
Source: RefSeq, a predicted model, not a curated record
GCUUGUUCCGGCGGACCAGGAUGGUCAAGAAGAUAGUAGGUAUUUUGAAUUAGAAUUGUCAUAAUCAAACCUGACCCUCCCGUUUUUCCGCUCCCAGACGACCCGUUGCAGCUCCUUCAUCUACAUACGGUUACUGGAAUGCCGGUCAGUACCUUCUUCCUCUCGUACGGAGAUCAUAUCGUAAAGAAUUCGUCCAUGAGCAAGACGGCCAGUUUGCGAAAAGGACCGCAUCUUCCGACGGAUCCAGGCACACUCAGGCAGGUGCGGAUCUGUAUCGCAUGGUUGGUGCGCGCAGGCCAUCAUUGGAGGUUUUGUCCAGCAGGGUAGUCAGCCAGCUGGUGUUUCGAAACUGAGAUGGACCUUUCCAGACGUGACCUUAUAGGGAAUCCGCUCGCAGUCGAAGUCGAAUUGGCCGAAAAAGUUUUCCGUUAGUCUAGCUCCAAAACCUGAUAUCUUCUUUGUCCUUUGGAAAAGAUCUGUUACGGAUCAACGGCCGGAGAGUGGCCCAUGGGCAGCUGAUGCUCUCAGAGAAGGACAAUGAUGUGUGAGUCCUGCUUUGAACACGAUUACGUGCUGGGAUCAAGAUCGCCGAUUUUCAGGAAGAUUCAUGUGUUCAAGCUGGAACAUGAAAAUUGCAACCGCCAGCGAAAGAUCUUUAUUCGAAGCAGUUCAAGAGCCGUUCAAGCCACCUUCAGCGAUGGUGGUCGGGUUGCGUCAACUGGAAAAAAAACAUAAAUAGGCAUCGAUAAAGAAGAGGGAGGGGGAGGGUACAGUCUCUUUAUUUUGAAAGAAAAACAGGUGGCAAAAUGCUGCAGGCAUGAUUGUGUUCGCCACGAUAGCAGCUGGAUACUGUGGUGGCAGAUUUGGUACAUAGUCUCGCAGUGGAUUGAUCCACUUCUCGUCCCAUGUUCUAGCCGACGGGCAAACCCAGCUGGCGGUUUAUGGACGACCAACGGGCGUUGCUGGUUCCGACGGGCAAGCUUCUUCCCUCUUUGACUAAUCGUCAGCCCCAGCAUCCGCUGAUCCGGGUGUGCCGAGUGGGGUCUCUCCAUUAGUAUGAAGGCCAGCGGCCUGAGGAUAAUAUAACGUGGAGAGGUGCCAGACGACGGGUUUAGAUGUUGGUAGCUAGCUAUUCAUGGCAUUCACGCUGCCGCUGGUUGGACCGAGACGGAACGAGUGCUCACGGAACCUCUUUCCCACAUAUGUUGUCGGUAUCCCCGGUCGGAAAUGGAUGGCACCUUUCGGACGUGUGUCUGGGGCUUUGCGCUUGCCAUCUGGUAUAUUCAACAAACCGGUCGCAGGAUAGCCCUCGACUCAUCUGGCGUUACCCAAAACCAGGCUUAAACAAGUAGCCGACCUCGUUAAUUUGGCCAAUCGUAUUGAUAUGGCCAUUUGCCAUGAAUGCUCGGAAUCAUGACUAGAUUGCCUAAAUACCUUCGAUAAUUGAUUCUCAGAGGGCAGUGUUUAACAAUCGUACCGGCUGUAACAGUGCGAUUUAUUAGCGUGAUAACGCUCGCUUGGGACAAGUACUAACCACGCUUCCAUCUUCCCAGAUCGACGACCGCAACAUGUGCUGAUCCUCCCCUACGUUGCAACUUAUGAGCAUAGAUCGUUGCGAUUUGAGUUUGGCAAGGUAGUGUGUGUGUUCGUUGAUAGUGUAAGAGCCGGUUUGGAGGUGGAGAAACUGAUGAUUUACCGGAUCAGUUUUUGAUCAACCUUUGAUUUGCCCGGUGAACUGAAGUGCGACAAGGCGCGAGAACCGUUAUAGAUUCGACUACAGCUCAAUGAGCCUAGGUGAAGCGAGCCAUCCAGGAACUCUAGAACCCCGCGAUUAGGAUACUCCGGCAUCACCGGUGGCUCACCGAACCACGCCCCACCUAUCAAAGUGGUCAGAAACGGUAAUUGUCCACCAGGUCGACGAGCAGCGACCAGCCGCCAUUGCUGAGUUGUGCAUCCUCCGUACGGGAACCACGAGCCACACCCAAGACCUGCCCUACAACUACAACCCUGCGCCGGGAACCGGGACAUUCCACGAAACAUCGGUGACGUGGAAAUUCGAGAUUCCGUCAACACACUCGAGGGCGAUAGGGCAGGCACAAAGGGGUGAGCGAACGCCGGCAAGUUGAACGUUCACCACCAGACCAGCGAGCAGCAGGACGAGACGGCUGGAGCUGGUUCCGGAGAUGUUUUCCUGCCUGAGCGCAUGCCGACCCUGCAGAGCAAUAGGGGAGUCAUGUGGACCCCCACAGCCAUUGCUGUUGUCAGCAAAUCUCCAACUGUCUAUCGGCUCAGGUUUCUAGACGUUUGGUAGGCCGUCCAGCGAUGUGCUUAAGUGGUUCAGCACUGAAUCCGAGGUAUGAACCCGAGGUUGCAGUCUCCAAAAGCGUUUCCGGCCAGGGAACUUUUUUAAAGUUUCAACUGCAAAUUAAAAAUAAUCAG